GACGAACGCUGGCGGCGUGCCUAAUACAUGCAAGUCGAGCGAACAGACGAGGAGCUUGCUCCUCUGACGUUAGCGGCGGACGGGUGAGUAACACGUGGAUAACCUACCUAUAAGACUGGGAUAACUUCGGGAAACCGGCGCUAAUACCGGAUAAUAUAUUGAACCGCAUGGUUCAAUAGUGAAAGACGGCUUUGCUGUCAGUACUAGAUGGAUCCGCGCCGCAUUAGCUAGUUGGUAAGGUAACGGCUUAUCAAGGCGACGAUGCGUAGCCGACCUGUGGGGGUGGUCGGCCACAUUGGAACUGGGACGCGGUCCAGGCGCCUGCGGGAGGCAGCAGUAGGCAAUCGUCCGCAGAAGGCGGAAGCCUUACGGAGCGGCGCCACGUGAGUUAUGGAGAUCUUCCGAUCGUAAUACUCUGUUAUUAGGGAAAAACAAAUGUGUAAGUAACUAUGCACGUCUUGACGGUACCUAGUCAGAAAGCCACGGCUAACUACGUG
Molecule: ribosomal RNA, 497 nt
Filed under: uncultured bacterium
Lineage: Bacteria
Description: partial 16S ribosomal RNA
Rfam family: Bacterial small subunit ribosomal RNA
Source: RNAcentral